RNAcentral lists this ribosomal RNA (1604 nucleotides) under groundwater metagenome. Its description in RNAcentral is "bacterial LSU rRNA". It matches the Rfam family "Bacterial large subunit ribosomal RNA", at positions 472 to 2057 of the family's 2925-position model. The record is from RNAcentral.
ACUACACCUAAACCGAUAGUGCACAAGUACCGUGAGGGAAAGUUGAAAAGAACGCUGGUGAAGCGAGUGAAAUAGAACCUAAAAUCAUAAACCUACAAGCGGUGGGAGGCCUAUGCAUGGCGCAAGCCAUGAAUGGCUGACCGCGUACCUUUUGCAUAAUGGUCCGACGAGUUACUGUGCGGUGCAAGCUUAAGGCUUUUAUUGAGCCGAAGGCGCAGCGAAAGCGAGUCCUAACCGGGCGAUUUAGUACCGUAUAGUAGACCCGAAGCUGAGUGAUCUACCCAUGGUCAGAGUGAAGUUCCCCGAAAGGGGAAUGGAGGCUCGAACCCAUCAGCGUUGAAAAACUGUGGGAUGAACUGUGGGUCGGAGCGAAAGACUAAACAAACUCAGAAAUUGCUGGUUCUCCCCGAAAUAUUUCUAGGGAUAGCCUCGGACUAUUAAAUAGUAGGGGUAGAGUACUGAAUGGGUUACAGAGCCUUACCGGGUUACUGAACCCAACCAAACUCCGAAUACCACGGCGCCAUAUUCCAGGAGUCAGCCCGUGCGGGAUAAACUGCACGGACGCGAGGGAAACAACCCAGACCGUCGGCUAAGGUCCCAAAGGGUGUGCUAAGUGUUAAAGGAUGUUGGGUUGCAUAGACAACCGGGAUGUUGGCUCAGAGGCAGCCAUCAUUUAAAGAGUGCGUAACAGCUCACCGGUCGAGCGAUCCAGCGCCGACAAUGAUAGGGGCUCAAGCACAUCACCGAAGCCGCGGAUGGUCUUGGCAUUCGUGCCAGGAUCGUGGUAGGGGAGCGUUCCGCGUUAGGUUGAAGGCGACGCUGUUAGGCGCGCUGGACGAAGCGGAAGUGAGAAUGCCGGUAUGAGUAGCGAUAAGCACCGCGAGAAACGGUGCCGCCGUAAGCCUCAGGGUUCCUGGGGAAGGUUAAUCCACCCAGGGUGAGUCGGUCCUAAGCUUAGGCCGAAAGGCGUCAGCGAUGGACAUGCCGUUAACAUUCGGCAACCACUGGGCAGGCGUUUGACUGACGUUGAGGACGCAGGAAGCUAGGCCAUCCGGGUAUUGGACGUCCCGGUCCCGGCAUACAGCCGUAAGGCAAGGUGCCGGGGGAGACGAGGCGACAGCCGAGUUAAACUGGUUGAGGCUAUGCUGCCAAGAAAAUUCAUCGUCGGAAGUCUGUUCAGUGCCCGUACCGUAACCCGACACAGGUAGGCGGGGAGAAAAUCCCAAGGCGUUCGAGAGAACCCCCCUUAAGGAACUCGGCAAACUCGCCCCGUAACUUCGGGAUAAGGGGUGGUCGCCGGGGUGUCAAAGCCCUGGUGACCCACAGUAAAGAGGAUCAGCCGACUGUUUAGUAAAAACACAGGUCACUGCAAAGUCGUAUUGACGACGUAUAGUGACUGACACCUGCCCAAUGCUGGAAGGUCAAGAGGAGGCGUCAUCCGUAAGGUGAAGCGCCGAAUUCAAGCCCCAGUGAAUGGCGGCCGUAACUAUAACGGUCCUAAGGUAGCGAAAUUCCUUGUCGGGUAAGUUCCGUCCUGCACGAAUGGCGUAACGACUUCCCCGCUGUCUACAGCAUAGGCUCAGUGAAACUGAAUACCCCGUGAA